Andrographis paniculata is the source of this 7979-nucleotide RNA transcript. It is a transcript of the gene named probable aspartyl aminopeptidase, with no coding region annotated. Lineage: Eukaryota; Viridiplantae; Streptophyta; Magnoliopsida; Lamiales; Acanthaceae. The record is from RefSeq and is a predicted model, not a curated record. The transcript is spliced from 10 exons.
UACUAUCCAAACCCGUAAUUCUCAGGAUUCAGAUGCAAUUCUGUGGAUGUAUAUAAAAUUUCCAUUGCCUGGCGGCAUAUUCAUUUCUCUGUCGUUUUUCGGUUACGGAAAUGGCUUCCAUCACUCGGUUUCAUCCUCUCCACCCAGCUGCUCUGCUCAAUCCCUCUGCAACUUCAUUCAAGUUUCAUCGCUCCUUCCCUUUCUUCUCUAUCCACACCCGUAGAAACAGCUAUCUUCGCCGCAGUUGCGAUGGGGAGGUUAAUACUCGCAAACUUCACGCAACACCACAAGUCCGGUGUAAUUCAAAGAACGGUGGUUCGAGCACUGAAUCGAGUCAGUCUGUAGUUGGCGAUCUGCUGGACUUUCUCAACGAGUCCUGGACUCAGUUUCAUGCUACCGCUGAAGCAAAGCGCCAACUUCUUGCUGCUGGAUUUCAUUUGUUGAAUGAGAAUGAAGAGUGGAAAUUGAAGCCUGGUGGUCGCUAUUUUUUCACACGUAACAUGUCCUCAUUAGUUGCCUUUGCGAUUGGGGAAAAGUAUUUGGUUGGGAAUGGCUUUCAUGUGAUUGCUGCACAUACAGACAGCCCAUGUCUUAAAUUGAAGCCGAAUUCUGCAUCAUCCAAAUCUGGUUAUCUUAUGGUCAAUGUACAAACUUACGGUGGUGGUUUAUGGCACACUUGGUUUGAUAGAGACCUAAGUCUUGCUGGAAGGGUUAUUCUUAGAAAUGAUGAUGGUUCGUUUUCACAUGAGCUGGUCAAGAUAAAUAGACCUAUAUUGCGGGUGCCGACUCUUGCUAUUCAUCUUAACAGGACAGUAAAUACUGAUGGUUUUAAGCCAAACCUUGAGACACAACUCAUCCCUCUGUUGGCAACAGAAGCUGACAAAGAAUAUUCUAAGCCUGAUGAAAAAACUAGUUCGUCAUCUUCAAAAGAUACCAGCCAUCAUCCACUGCUAAUGCAGAUUUUGGCAGAUGAACUGGGUUGUAAGGUUCAAGAUAUUGCAAGCAUUGAGUUAAACGUGUGCGACACUCAACCCAGCUGCCUUGGUGGUGCCAAUGAUGAAUUCAUAUUUUCUGGAAGAUUGGAUAAUCUAGCUUCAAGCUUUUGUGCAUUGAGAGCUCUCAUUGAUGCUUGUGCCUCCCCAGAAGAUUUAGAAAAUGAGCAUGCAAUUCGAAUGGUUGCUUUAUUUGACAAUGAAGAGGUUGGUUCAGAUUCUUACCAGGGGGCAGGUGCCCCAACUAUGUUCGAGGCAAUGAGAACGAUAUGUGCUUCUUUAGGUCAACAUUCUGUUACUGAAGGUGGCUUUGCUCGUGCAUUUCGCCACUCUUUUCUCGUGUCUGCUGACAUGGCUCAUGGAGUGCACCCAAAUUUCAUAGAUAAACAUGAAGAAUAUCAUCGACCAAUGUUGCAAAAAGGCCUUGUGAUAAAGCAUAAUGCCAACCAACGUUAUGCUACAAGCGGAGUUACAUCUUUCCUGUUCAAUGAAGUUGCUAGCAUUCAUAAUCUUCCCACUCAGGGAGAAGGAUGAUGCCAAAAAAAUGCAGUAGAUCAAGGCCUUGGAGGCAUAUAUGGAGGAACUUUGAACAGCCGUGGUGGCUUGAAAGGUAUUAUUGCCGUGCCCGGAGUCGAAAGUGGAUUGAUAGGUAAAUACAUUGAAGGAAAAGCUUCUACUGGCCAUGCAAACUACAAUCCUUGUGUCCCGGAUCGGAGCCUUGACUGAGUAACACCGGGGAACGCCCUGUAACGUGCCCUUCGUCUAUUGCCUUGGUAUAAAAGCCUUGAUCCGUCUUCGGCUUCGAUUCGUUAUGCUCAGAAGCUCCAACAAGCCCUAAAAUCUCUCAAGACAUUUAGAGAGGCUAGCGGAAAUCUCUCAAGACAUUUAGAGAGGCUAAUGAAAAUCUCUCAAGACAUUUCGGAAUCUCCUGAAAUAUUCUGGAACACUCCACAAGUACCGAGAUCGCCCCUUGACCAAGUCGAUGUCUAUCCGUUAAAUAUAGCUUAUCCAUCUCUUGUAUAGUUUAUCCUUAUCUAUAUGUUGUAUAGAUAGUCUAUCAAAAUAUGAAUAUAUUUUGGCUUGUGUUAGGCCUGAUCCGCUAGAGUGCCUAUAUAUAGAGGAGUCACAACUCAUUUUGUCACACUUUGCUACAUAGAGAGCUAUACACACUCUAUUUUGCUAGGUGUAGUUUUACGGUGUCUUUGUUUUCCAGCGGACAUGUGUUCGAGGAGGAACCAUUCGACCCAUUACAUAUGGUAUUAGAUCCGAUUUUUGAGAGAAUGGCGGCUGAAAAGUCCGAUACUGAGUUCGAGGUUGAGAACUAAGUUCUGAGGCGGAACCAAAGGAAUACAAAGGACAAGUCUAUUGUUGCCGUGGGAGCUUUCGACAAUAGGUUGGCCAAGGUGGAGCUGACUGUCGGGGAUCAUCACAACAAGGUUGACUAGGUAGAAUAACGGAUCUGCGAACUCGAAGGUAGCGAGCUUUGCGAAUGGGUACUGGCCUUGGUUGAUAAUGUGGGGGAUGACUUGGAAGCGGGAACUGAAAGUACAAGAGCUCGCCAAGGGGAUGAUGGCCGAGGUGAUCACUCUCAAGGAGAGCUAUGCAACAAGCAAUCUUGAGCUAGUAAGUGCAAAGUCAAGAUUGCGAAGUUGGAGAAGACUAAGGUUGCGGAACCUUCGAAUAUUCAAGAGGAGUUGGCAGUGAUGAGAGUGACGCUAGCUGAACUCCAGGCGAUGAGGCCGAGUAAGACUACUCCGGCAGUCCCAAAGGAAAAUAUCCCGUGUUCUAAGAGUUAUGCAGGGAAGUGAAAGGCGCGAGCGGUGGAUGCUCUCUCUAUGAUAUAGAGAAAAAAUUCGAGGAUUCUGGCAUUAUGGGAGAUGAAGCCAAAAUCCGAAUUGUAUCCAGAUUCCUGAAGGACUUGGCCCGCACUUGGUGGAGACGGAACAAAAGGAUGCACAAUGAUGAUGGCGGCAUCAUGACAUGGAGAAUGUUCAAGCGUGAACCUAAGGAAGAGUUUGCACCGGCCGACGCAGAGGAAGCAUGGUGUACGAUCCAUCGGUUGGACCAUCGAAAAGGUCACUUGAAGGAGUAUAUCGAGAAGUCCUCUGAUCUAUUGUUGGAAGUGUCAAAUAUGUCUUUUAAGAAGGCGUUAACGUUCUUCGAGACCUAUGACUGUGGGCCAAGCUGAGGAUUAUGAAAAAACUUCUUUAAAAUGUCAAUGAGGCCAUCAGGUACCCUUAAUGGUUGCUUGAAGUUGAGUGGAAAGAGUCAAAUAAGGAUGAUAAGUUGAGACGAAGGCAGAAGUGGGGAUAUCAAACCCGGAAAUUCCCAUGAGAUUGUGAUGCCGGAAAUACUCGGUAGCAACCCGCAGCUAGAGCUAGGAACACGACUGCAGGGGCAAAGAUCACUAUACUAGGGAUUGUCCAAGUAGGGAAGGCCUUGCGGUGGUGGACGAACAGACCGAGGCAAGCGAAAAACGAGUGGCAUGUACAAAGUCAAUCCCUGCUAAUACCCUUGGAGGGAGGAUGCUCAUUAAUGCAUGGAUAAAUAGAGUACUGGCGACGUGUUUUCUUGAAAUGGAUGUAAAAGACAAAUACAUAAGUGAGUAUAUGGCCCGUAAGAUUUGCCUAUGAUGGGCACCUUCUGGAUGGCGGUUUAAGGGAGUCAAUGGUGGGUGGACUCCCAAAUCUGUCGUAGCCAAAGACAUGCCCAUCCAGCUCAGCAAUUGGAAAGGUACAAAAUUAUUCAAUUUAGCCCCUCUCAAUCAAGCCUGGAGCCCCAACCCGUUUUUGGAUGAUUAUGCAAUAUUUCUAAGGAUGAGGUUCAUAGAUCACGUCAAACCCAUACUGGUGCCACACAAGCAAAAGUUUACGAUCAUUGAGGAUGGGACGCCGUGUGACAUGGUGUACAGAGGGAAGGAGCUCAGCCCGAAACAACUCGAGAAAGGGUCUAAAGAAAGAAGAGCUGACUUUUGCGGCUAUUCUGAGUGAUAGGACGUCCGUGGGAUGGUGAGAAAGAGGUUGGGGGCCCGCCUAAGGACCUAGAGCCAGUCCUUAAGGAGUUCAAAGAUAUCAUGCCAGAUGAUCUGCCUAAGGGGCUGCCCUCUCGACGGGCUAUCGAUUAUACCAUUGAUUUGGUGGAAGGGGCAAAAUCGGUCUCUGGCCUGCUUACUGGAUGUCUCUGACGAGUUGGCGGAUGUUGAGAAGCGGUAGCCUAUGCAUGAGAAGGAAAUGCUCGCAGUGGUACAUUGUUUACAAGUAUGAGAGCAUUACUUAAGGGGGGUUGCCCUUUACGAUCUCCACCGACAAUUGAGCUUUAAGUUAAUUUAAUCUCAAAAGAAAUUGAUAGGAAAACAAGCGUGGUGGCUUGACUUUCUUGCAGAGUUCAAGUUUGAGAUCAAGUACUGACCCAAAAAGAUGAAUGCCACAACCGAUACUGAGUCGCAAGAUGGCGGCUCUUUACUCUAUUGAUGGGGAUAUUGUAGAUCAAAUACGUGAGGGUCUGGUGCACUAUGAGUUCGUUCAUGCGAUGUUUCAAUAGAUUGAGGAAGGGAGGACUCAGAAAUAUUUUCUGAAGGAUGGCCUAGUCAUGACCAAGGGCUAUCGGACGUAUGUGCCAAAGUGGAGAAACUAGAGAUGAGAUAUAUUGCGGGAGUGUCAUGAUACAAAAUAUGCAGAGUUCAUACCCGCGCUGAAGGAGGAUACGGCGGAGACGACUGCCAAGUUCAUGAGCUAUGUCUUAAAGUAUUGGAGCUUUCCAACAAACAUUGUUAGUAAUUGAGACUCACGAUUCACAGGAAGAUUUUGUAUGGAGCUCUCUCGACUAUUGGGGUCAGAGUUGAAGAUGUCGACGAUGAUGCACCCCUAGACCGAUGGGCAGAUGGAGCAUGUCAAUCACGUAUUAAAAGUGUACUUUCGACACUUUAUUAAGGUAAAUCAACUCAAUUCCACUGCUCUACUUGAUGUUGCACAAUUCUAUUUUAGACUGCAAAUAAACAAAAGUACGAGAAAGAGUCCAUUCGAGAUAAUGCUCGAAUUUCAGCCCAUAACGCCGAAGGAUAUAGUGAGAACAUACAAGGGACCAAGCCCACAGGCAUUCCACUUUGCCAAAUGUUGGCAAGAUCGUGCAGAAGUUGCCCGACUUUAGUAAAAGUCUCAAAAAAAAUGAAAAAGUGGACAGACCAGAAGAGGGUGUUCCGAGAAUUCAAAAAAAAGGCAUAGUGCCCGUGAAGUUAUACCAACACGGCCAUGUUCGAGGAGUGCAUAAAGGCUUGAUGCGUAGGUAUGAAGGCCCAUUUCCGGUUUGGAAGAAGAUUGGCGAGGUGGUGUACAAGUUGAGCUGCGUAAGACCUUAUCCUAGUUUCACCCCGGGUUCCACGUCAGUCCAUUGAUGCCAUAUCGUAGUAAUAUUCAGACCCCACGGGCACCCCCUGGCAUGCGGACAGUGUACAACAAAGUGGCGGAGGAAAUCUUGACUGACAGAGUGGUUCGGCACAAGAAUCGACCCCCAUUGACGGAGUACUUGGUCAGGUAGUGUAGAUUACCCGAGUCCGAGAUGAGUUGGGAGCCGGCCAAAGACUUAUGGCAGUUUGUGGAUUUUGUUCAAGACUUUGAGGCAUUGAGAGCAAUGCCUAGUUCUGGUGGAGUAGGAUAUCCCGGACCGGAACCUUAGCCGAGAAAUGCCGAGGAAUGCUCUGCGACGUGCCUAAAUGGAGAGGCUAGUAGAAAUCUCUCAAGACAUUUCGGAACCUCCCGAAACGUUCCAAAAUAUUCCAAAAAUACUGAGAUCGCCCAUUGACCGAGUCGAUGUCUAUCCAUAGACAUAGUUUAUCCAUAUAUUUUGUAUAGUUUAUCCUUAUCUAUAUGUUGUAUAGAUAGUUUACCCGAGUAUGGAUAUAGUUUGACAUGUGUUAGGCCUGGUCAACUAGAGUGCCUAUACAUAGAGGAGUCACCUCAUUUGUAACACACUUCGCUACGCAGAAAGCUAUACACUAUUUUUCCGGGUGCAUUUUUACUGUGUCCUUGUUUUUCAUUUUAGUGUGCUUUUGUGGUUGUGUAUGAGGCUGUACUAGCAAGUUUCUUAUGAGUGCCGAUGAGUUUUUAGGCCAAUAGAAAGGUCAUCAAGGAGGAAUCAUCCGACCCGCUACACUGCUUAUUUCAGGCUGCCUACCACGCCCAUCAAAAGCUCAGCGGCAGCCAAUGGACCUGUGGCGGGAGGAGGUUAGGCGGCUGGCUCAUCUACAAAAAUCAUGGGCAAACCAAGGGCAAAACACGUAAUUACCGAUGGGGGAUGUUUGAGGGGCCUAGAAUGUCUCGACAAUGGAGUUCAAACUUUAGGAUGUGCAACUAGUCAGCUUUGAUGGCCAUGGCCCCUUAGGAUGGGUUGUGCUAUGGCAGAACAACCCUUGUGUUGCACAGGGUCUCCGAGGAGAUCAAAGUGAGUUUGCGCACCAAUCUAGUACGGUACCAGAGACCGGAAAUUGUUCAAAACUUGCAGGAUAUAAUGGAGGUUGAAUUCAAUGUCCUACUAUUAAAUUCGGACACUGAGAACCUCCCAAAUAGCCCUGAAAAUGCGCCUGUGAUGCGACUAAAAGUCGCGCAUGUCUUGGAGAAAUUCUGUGACAUGUUUGGUGAACCUACAAAGCAGCCACCGACUUUCUACAACAACCAGAUUCCAUUGAAACUAGGAGCAGGUCCUAUUUCAGUACAUCCUUACAGCUAUGGACAGAUUCAGAAAGACGAGAUUGAAUGGAUUUCUAGGGCUGUCAGGCCAUUACCAACACUUUUUGCAACACUAUGGCAGCAUCGAUUGCCCAUUAAUGGAUUUUAUAUGCAAGAAAGCUAUAGAGAGAGUUUUCAUGGCCGCCCUCCAGGCAGGCUGCCUUCGACAGACUAAACAUGCCUUUAUAACAACUCCGGUGCUUUCCAUGCUAGAUUUGUAGUGGAGUGUGAUGCCUUAAGCUCCAGUAUUGGUGGGGUACUCAUGCAAGAGUUUAGGCAUAUUGUUUAUUUCUGCAAGGCACUAGGAGAUCGAACUCGGAGAAAAUCACCCUAUUAACAGGAAUUAAUGAGUUUAGUGUAUCUAUCCAACAUUGGUGCCUCUAUCUCAUUGGUCACCACUUCAUGGUGCACAUGAAUCAUCAUAGUUUGCACCAUUUAUUUUCUCAUCAGAAGAUUGGGAUCUGUGCUUAAGAAUCUUGAAUGAUCAAACUUCUAGGAUACUCUUUCGGCGUGGUUUAUAAAUUAGGCCACCUAAACUUGCCAUUGAUUCCUUCUCCUGCAAGAUUGACCAUUCAUUAUUAUCUCCGGAUCAUGCAUAGAAGUGGCUUGUCACGAAGGGUGUACUCAGGUGUAUAGGGAGCACUAUACAAAAACUCUCCCUUGUCGUCAAGAUGUCUUAUAUUCAUCUUUUUCUCUCUAUGGCAGUUACGUGUAGUUGGCCUAUUUAUAAGAUGGGCGUAAAAAAUGUCUUCUUGCUUGGUGAGCUUCGGAAGGAGGUGUAUAUGGAUCAACCACUUUGUUUUGUUGUUCAGGGAGAGUCUGGUCUCCUUUGUUGCCUUUGUUGCUUACUCUAAAACAAUCUCUACGAGUGUGGUUGGGACAUUUCCGUCUUGUUAUUCAAGAAUUUGAGAUAAUAGAAUGUUCAUCUGAUCAUACCAUAUUCUAUAGGCAUACUCUAAAAGGACAGGUGCACUUAUUUGGUUGUCUAUGUUGAUGAUAUUGUAAUCACCUCACACCUGGGCAUGAUAUGGAUGGCAUCACACGGUUGAUGAAGCACCUGCAUAACCAUUUUCAGACUAAGGAUUUAGGACCUCUAUGGUAUAUCUUAAUCAGUUCCUUCGGUCUCCGUGUGACUCUCAUUGGAAGGCAAUUAUGAAUUUGUCGUAAGAAAUGAUAUGGGAUGUGGAUCAACUAUAGGUCCCAUACUUGCUUCAGGAGUUGGGAUUCGGACCGUUGAUUGUGGUAUAGCUCAGUUAUCUAUGCACAG